AAACCAGCACCUCAAGUGGUCAGGAUGAUUAUUGGGCCUAAAGCAUCCGUAGCGGGCUCUGUAAGUUUUCGGUUAAAUCUGUACGCUCAACGUACAGGCUGCCGGAAAUACUGCAGAGCUAGGGAGUGGGAGAGGUAGACGGUACUCGGGAGGAAGGGGUAAAAUCCUUUGAUCUCUCGAUGACCACCUGUGGCGAAGGCGGUCUACCAGAACACGUCCGACGGUGAGGGAUGAAGGCUGGGGGAGCAAACCGGAUUAGAAACCCCGGUAGUCC
This 274-nucleotide ribosomal RNA is filed under the name uncultured bacterium. RNAcentral describes it as "partial 16S ribosomal RNA". It matches the Rfam family "Archaeal small subunit ribosomal RNA", at positions 473 to 747 of the family's 1478-position model. The record is from RNAcentral.